Gadus chalcogrammus (walleye pollock) is the source of this 4204-nucleotide long non-coding RNA. RefSeq lists it as uncharacterized. The transcript is spliced from 4 exons. The record is from RefSeq and is a predicted model, not a curated record. Lineage: Eukaryota; Metazoa; Chordata; Actinopteri; Gadiformes; Gadidae.
GUCUGGUUGGGUUCUGCUCAUAUGGAACCGGACAGCACGUUGUUGUCCACCACUGUUUGGCAGCGUUAUGUCUCCCAGACAAGGUUACAAAGACUUUUUGAAGUAAAACGGAGCAUUUCAUAUGGAGCUGAUUUCUAUCCUGGAGAUGAAACUGCAGUUCUGUGAGUAUCCCAAUUGAACCAUGAAGAAGAAACUGCGAACUGUAAGUCAUUGGUUUCCUUAUUGGGCACUGCAAUGUAUUUCGGGUUAACCUGUUUGGUGAACAUUGCUUUGAGUAGUGUGGAUGUUUUAUUGGUACAUGAGCUACUUAAGCGUUUGUGUUGGUACUAAUGGUUUCAAGUACAGGUUAGAAGUGUUGUAAAGCGUAAUAGAGAAUUCUGUGGGUACAACCAAAACAUACUUCAGGGUUGGUUGCUGAUUUCUUUAGUCUUCUUUCCUGCUACUCUCCUGAGCUCUUCAUCUUCAUCACAUGAGUGUCGCUUUACCGAUAAGGGCGUAUCUGAGUGAGCAGAGGUGCAUGAUGGGAUACAGGUCUGUCUGAAGUCUACUGGUCUGUAGACACGACCACUCAGGAGAAACCAAGGGUUUGAGAAUCCGUUUUGAUGUGUGUUUCAUGGACUAGAAUAUCCUUUAAGAUGGGGACAGGGAUUCCCAAAGGAUAAAACACCUGGGGGAGAUGUGAGUGCUCCUCAUCUCAACGACUGGAACACUACUUCGUUCUUGCACCAGAGAACCAUAGAGCUCAUUUCAACAUUCUCCUCCAUGUAUUGUGAAGCCUCAGCGACUCUUUCUCUACCUCCACAGCUGUCAGAGCACAACUCCAGUUCAGAAACGGUCACAGUUGGGGGCCAUUCCAAGAUGGUCUCUGAUUUCACCAGAGCCAUCUUCCAGGUCCAGCUGCCCUUCCAUCUUGAGGGUUGGAGUGUACAAAACACUGUACACAGAAAGCUUCUAUUUGGUCCAGUCCAGUCAGCCUACUGAGGAUGGAGAUAUUCUACAAGAGUGUUUGACAUUGUAUUUCUCUGUGGCAUCUGGGUUUGACAUGAGAUGGAAAUGGUUCAUUUGUCAGCAUGACAAGGGUUCGCUCUGGUAUUGGAGUUCUGCAUAAGUGUGUGACCUGGGUUCUACAUGUGUCCUGGGUUCGCUCUGGUGUUGGCGUUCUCCUGGGUUUGCUCUGGUAUUAGAGUUCUACGUUUGUCCUUGAUUCGAUCUGGUAUUGGAGUUCUACGUUUGUGUCCUUGAUUCGAUCUGGUAUUAGAGUUCAACGCGCGUGUCCUUGAUUCGAUCUGGUAUUAGAGUUCAACGCGUGUGUCCUUGGUUCGAUCUGGUAUUGGAGUUCAACGUGCGUGUGUCCUUGGUUCGAUCUGGUAUUGGAGUUCAACGUGCGUGUCCUUGGUUCGAUCUGGUAUUGGAGUUCAACGUGCGUGUCCUUGGUUCGAUCUGGUAUUGGAGUUCAACGUGCGUGUCCUUGGUUCGAUCUGGUAUUGGAGUUCAACGUGCGUGUCCUUGGUUCGAUCUGGUAUUGGAGUUCAACGUGCGUGUCCUUGGUUCGAUCUGGUAUUGGAGUUCAACGUGCGUGUCCUUGGUUCGAUCUGGUAUUGGAGUUCAACGUGCGUGUCCUUGGUUCGAUCUGGUAUUGGAGUUCAACGUGCGUGUCCUUGGUUCGAUCUGGUAUUGGAGUUCAACGUGCGUGUCCAGGGUACGACCUGGCAUGGGAUUCUACGUGUGUCCUGGGUUCAACCUGGUUUGCGUCCAUCUGAGUGACAUGGGGUAUUGGAACUGUCAACCUAAUCGAAAUGGAUGGAUGAGCACCUGGUUUGCUUAAGGACUUGGCCGACGUGAAGAGCCUGGAACGAUGCUCCGCAAUGAUAUCCCAACACACUGGACAGGAAGACGGGAGUUGGAUUGGAAUCAAGUGUAAAGAAAUGAUGCGAAAGGCUGGUUUGGAUCACUGACUACAAAUUAGAACUACACCAAUAAGGAACAAUGGAGGAAAUGUACCAAAUGGAUUCCACAAGAAGAGUCUGAAGUUGGAAAUCGACCUAAAUGGAUAUUCCAGAUGACCUUCAGAGCUGUAGUGAGGCGCCUCUUCCUACUUGCUGGAUGGCCAGCGAGCCCUGUGGACCGUGUCUUGUGUCGUAUUGCUUUCAGAUGCACAUCUUCUCUGACUGAAAUAUAUUUUGUUUCCUGGCUAGGUGAACCUGGGAGAUGGGUUCUGUGAAUCUGAAACGAUCUUUGAACUAUCCUAACUCGGGUCCGCCUCAAGCUGAAGUUGUGCUCUUCUUCAGCUGAGGACGUUUGGAAACCUUCAGUGGGGCUUCAAGAUGUAUAGAGGGGAACGUUGCAGUGGGUUCCAUGGUUCUCUGAUGGAAAACCUUAGUUGUAUUCUACUGGCUGAGAGGAAAAACACACGCAUCUUUCUCUUGGCGUCUCUUCCUUUUAGAAUCCCUGUCGCCAUCUUGAAGGAUAUUCCACUUUAUGUAACUGUCCUUACGGCUUCGCAAACUUUGGUUUCUCCAGAGGGGCGUGUCUACAGAAUUGUAUACUUCAGACGGCAUUGUAUCCUUGAAUGAAUCUCUGCUUACUCAAACCACACCUCCAUUAGUACGGCAACACUAUAGCGAUGGAGGUGCAUAGUCUUUGAGUAACUGGGGAGCAGAUAACGGGGAUUAGAAAACAAUGUCAUGUUAAGUCUGUAGAUCUUUAAAUCAUGAUUGUUAAAUGGGAGUUCAGGAGUUGAUUUAAUUAUGUGCAGUCCCUUAUCUCAAAUGCACACACGUCUCACUUAACCUCAGAUUUCUUCGAAAUGAUUCGCAAUUGUUGAUGCGGUUAGUUCAGGGUAGCGUUUGCAGGGUUGUGGAUGGCUCUCUGAGCUAGACAUUUUGGUUGUAUCUGUAGGGUUUGUACCCAGAAUUAUCAAGAUAAGAUGUUGUAUGGUCAAAUGUAGUCAGUUUUGCAUUGACGGAUUUCCUCGUUUUUAAGCAAGCCUUUGAGGGUUAAAUGUGUUGUGUGACAUACAAGGUAGUUCUGUGUACUUCGUAUUUUUUUUAGUGUUAUAACUUGUACACACUGGGUGCUUAGCAUUUUAGAGGUAACACUGAAUAGUAGUUAUAACCAACAGCAACAAACAGAUCGCCUUAAGGUAAGUCUGUUGGCUGUAUUUAUGUGACAAGAUCAUCGCUGGACUUCAGGAUCGUCCUCCGCUCAGCUCAAGGUGAGGCGCUGGUUACGUUCCUUACUGCUGGGUUGGUUCCGGCUGGAAUGUUCGGAUUCCAGUCGGACGGGUUUCCUUCCCGCCGGGAAGGUUCUGAGUGUAGUCCGUUAAUUUAGUUUCAAAAUGGUUGGCAUUGAAAACCUUAAGAACACACUUGGCAGUUAGUUGGAUUGAUUUAAGUCACCUGAAAGGGCAUCUGGCAGUACGUUCUAGUUUGGCAUCUCCGUAACUAUCACUUAUGAAAGUACCCUGUUGGGGUAUCUGGCAGUAUGUUAAGGAUUGACGUUUGCAUUACCUCGUCACCAUUGGAAAAAACAAUUCAAUUUCUGACCAAUCUUAAGAGACUUUAGAUUUCCCGUUCAAAAUACAUACGGGCGUCUAUGUUUUUCAUUUCUCAAAUUCUACCAAUUUUUUUCAAUAAUUGCGCUCCACGUUGACGGACUCUCGCUGCGUACAAAUCUGCGUCGUACUUGCGGGCGCAUUUCUAACCGUCAAUGAAGAUUUCAUCACUUUUAGGCACUUUAUGGCAUGGCUUCCAUAUAACCCAGCACCUUAAUAUGGUUAAGUAUAAUUUUACUAUUGAAUUUUUAAUAUUGAUACUGCUUAGCGUUAUUUGAUACUUUAACAGCUUUGGUACAUUCUAAAUAUCUGGUCCAUUAAUUGUCACAGAAGUUAAACCCUACCAAAUCGCAUGACGUUAGAUUAUUACCCUUUUGUGAUGGGUUAUGAACUGGAUAGUAUCCAACCGCUAAAAUAAUGGCUGUGUCCCACAUGUUGCAGUAGGAGAACUUUAUAACUGUACACGGUAAAUGGUAAGGUGUAGUUUGUCUCACGGUGUCUGCCUCCUCCCCAGAGCCGUACCUUCACCCUGUCGGAGUCCUCCACAGCAGUCAGAGCGCCGCUGCAGGAGGGUCAUGUAUUUUCAGAGGCUGUCUGAUUAGUUCAGGGGCCUCUGGAUGCGGCAACGGGGUAGACGGUGGCGGACUGGAC